RNAcentral lists this long non-coding RNA (726 nucleotides) under Triticum aestivum (bread wheat). RNAcentral's name for it is "long non-coding RNA (TAES_LNC000464)". Lineage: Eukaryota; Viridiplantae; Streptophyta; Magnoliopsida; Poales; Poaceae. The record is from RNAcentral.
CCGCCUAUGGAGUUUCGCAACCCAUAUUGUGGUACGAAUCAAGGACCUCGUUCUGUGGAUUGAGAAUUUGCGCCGUUUUGUUGACUCCUACCCAAUUUCUUUCCUCCAUGCUGGCCUCCAGAUUCCCCUUCUGGAAGGGGUCGAUGAGAGCCCAACCCCCAUUCACCUGGACGUGCACGGCGCGGUGGUUCUGGGAGCGGUCGCCGACUCACAUCCAUCGCCGUUCAGCAGUGGGGACCAAGCCCCGUCAUCGGCACUCAGCGCGGAGGCUCAGAUCUGGAAGGAAGAAAGGGGCGAACGCGUUAGAUGCGAGGGAUCGCCGCAGGCUUCCGAGUUGUUCACUGGGAAGAUGAACCCACAUGCCCCUGGUUGGGCCAAGAGGUGCGUCCAAUAAUCACAUAUGUUUUCAGUGCGUGAUUUUAGGAUGUUGUAACCAUGUAGCAUGGCGAGAAAUUGUGGAGAUGGUGAUGUCAACUGAGAACUGAAUUGUAGAGUUUAGUGGAUUUAGCAUAUGUAGAGCCCAUAAUUUACGGCUUCGAUUUGCAUGGGCAUUGAGCAGGUUUACAUAGGCUGCUAAGUUGUGAACAUGAGAACUCAACAUGGAGUUAGGCAUGGAGGGGGAGCCGUAAACUCCAAGAAUUACCGUCAUGGAUGUAUCCUAAAAAAUUGAGGAGAUAAUGAGCACAUAAUAUGCAGAGACAUUUUAAAAAAAAGAUGCAGUUUUUG